RNAcentral lists this ribosomal RNA (467 nucleotides) under uncultured bacterium. Its description in RNAcentral is "partial 16S ribosomal RNA". It matches the Rfam family "Bacterial small subunit ribosomal RNA", at positions 28 to 506 of the family's 1533-position model. The record is from RNAcentral.
GACGAACGCUGGCGGCGUGCUUAACACAUGCAAGUCGAACGGAAAGGCCCUGCUUUUGUGGGGUGCUCGAGUGGCGAACGGGUGAGUAACACGUGAGUAACCUGCCCUUGACUUUGGGAUAACUUCAGGAAGCUGGGGCUAAUACCGGAUAGGAGCUCCUGCUGCAUGGUGGGGGUUGGAAAGUUUCGGCGGUUGGGGAUGGACUCGCGGCUUAUCAGCUUGUUGGUGGGGUAGUGGCUUACCAAGGCUUUGACGGGUAGCCGGCCUGAGAGGGUGACCGGCCACAUUGGGACUGAGAUACGGCCCAGACUCCUACGGGAGGCAGCAGUGGGGAAUAUUGCACAAUGGGCGGAAGCCCGAUGCAGCAACGCCGCGUGCGGGAUGACGGCCUUCGGGUUGUAAACCGCUUUCGCCUGUGACGAAGCGUGAGUGACGGUAAUGGGUAAAGAAGCACCGGCUAACUACGU